AUUGCGUUUCUGCUAUGAGGCUGGAGCGAGGGAAGAGAGUUCCCAUAGAGGUCUGAGAGCUAAAGGAGUGAGCCAGCAGACAUUCUGAGGACUUCAAGCCCAGGACACAGCACCUCAGAUAACGCUGAGAAACUGUUCCAAAGAGGCAAGCAGGGGAGCCAGGAUAUAUAGAAGUUUUUGCAGCAAAAGACCAGAGCUAUUUUGUUCAUGGUAACUUCUAUAAACCUGGAGCCCAAUGUUUCUAAUGAUUGAAGAGGAGAUAGUCGCCAGUAUAGACAUGUUACUGACUGUUACCUGGGUUACAUUUGCCAGGAGACUGGAGGCCCUCUGCUUACACGGAUUUUAUGGACACAGCCAACCAGUGGAGAAGCUGAAUACAUGAAAAUUCAAAUUAUAAAAAAGAAAAACU
Long non-coding RNA from Balaenoptera ricei (Rice's whale), 409 nucleotides. RefSeq lists it as uncharacterized. The transcript has 4 exons. NCBI's taxonomy places the organism in Eukaryota, Metazoa, Chordata, Mammalia, Artiodactyla, Balaenopteridae. The record is from RefSeq and is a predicted model, not a curated record.